Molecule: ribosomal RNA, 590 nt
Filed under: uncultured bacterium
Lineage: Bacteria
Description: bacterial SSU rRNA
Rfam family: Bacterial small subunit ribosomal RNA
Source: RNAcentral
GGACUGUUGGUGACGAGAGGGGGAGGGAAGAGUAAUACUUAUAUAACAUGACUCUGUGUGGGGGAGACCAUUGGAAACGAUGGCUACGACCGCAUAAAGUCUUUGGACCAGGAAGGGCUUUCGGGCUCUCGCGCAAAGAGUGGGCUAAUGGAGAUUAGCUUGUUGGUGAGGUAAAGGCUCACCAAGGAGACGAUCUCUAGCUGUUAUGAAAAGAAGAUCCACCCCCCUGCGACUGAGACACGGGCCAAACUCCUACGGAAGGCAGCAGGGCUGAAUAUUGCACGAUGGGGGCGACCCUGAUGCCUCCAUGCCGCGUGUGUGAAUAAGGCCUUCGGAUUGUGAAGCACUUUCAGUUGUGAGGAACGGUUGGCGCCUAAUACCCAUCCGCUGUGACGCUAGCAACAGAAGAAGCACCGCCUAACUCCGUGCCAGCAGCCGCGGUAAUACGGAGGGUGCGAGCGUUAAUCGGAAUUACUGGUCGUACUCCGCACUGCCUCCUAUAUAUCCUGCUAGAUGUGAAAGCCCGAGGGCUCAACCUAUUCAAUAGCAUUUAGGAACUGUAUGACUAUAGUCUUGGAGAGGCCAGUGGA